UACGUAGGGUGCGAGCGUUGUCCGGAAUUAUUGGGCGUAAAGAGCUCGUAGGCGGUCUGUCGCGUCGGCUGUGAAAACUCGGGGCUCAACUCCGAGCUUGCAGUCGAUACGGGCAGGCUAGAGUUCGGCAGGGGAGACUGGAAUUCCUGGUGGUAGCGGUGAAAUGCGCAGAGUAUCAGGAGGAACACCCGGUGGCGAAGGCACCAUCCUGGGAAGCAUCGUGACGCUCAGGUGCGAAAGCUAGGGGAGCGAACAGG
RNAcentral lists this ribosomal RNA (257 nucleotides) under uncultured bacterium. RNAcentral's name for it is "partial 16S ribosomal RNA". It matches the Rfam family "Bacterial small subunit ribosomal RNA", at positions 524 to 776 of the family's 1533-position model. The record is from RNAcentral.